AUACGGAGGGUGCAAGCGUUACUCGGAAUCACUGGGCGUAAAGCGCGCGCAGGCGGCUUGAUAAGUUGGAUGUGAAAGCCUACGGCUCAACCGUAGAACUGCAUCCAAAACUGUCAAGCUAGAGUCUGGGAGGGGAAGAUGGAAUUAGUUGUGGAGGGGUAAAAUCCGUAGAGAUAACUAGGAAUACCAAAAGCGAAGGCGAUCUUCUGGAACAGUACUGACGCUGAGGCGCGAAAGCGUGGGGAGCAAACAGGAUUAGAAACCCUAGUAGUCC
This 274-nucleotide ribosomal RNA is filed under the name uncultured bacterium. RNAcentral's name for it is "partial 16S ribosomal RNA". It matches the Rfam family "Bacterial small subunit ribosomal RNA", at positions 523 to 796 of the family's 1533-position model. The record is from RNAcentral.